Molecule: ribosomal RNA, 1208 nt
Filed under: uncultured organism
Description: bacterial SSU rRNA
Rfam family: Bacterial small subunit ribosomal RNA
Source: RNAcentral
GUGGAGAGUGGCGCACGGGUGAGUAACACAUGGCUGACCUGCCCCUCAGAGGGGGAGGACCGGUGGAAACGCCGGCUAAUACCCCAUGCUUGCGUCCGGGUUAGAGGCCGGAUGCAGAAAGGCCGAGGCGCUGAGGGAGGGGGCUGUGGACCAUCAGCUAGUUGGUAGGGUAACGGCCUACCAAGGCGAGGACGGAUAGGGGGCCUGAGAGGGUGACCCCCACACGGGCACUGAGACACGGGCCCGACUCCUACGGGAGGCAGCAGUAAGGGAUAUUGCGACAAUGGGCGAAAGCCUGACGCAGCAACGCCGCGUGGAGGAUGAAGGCCUUCGGGUUGUAAACUCCUUUUCUGUGGGAAGAGGAAGGACGGUACCACAGGAAGAAGUCUCGGCUAACUACGUGCCAGCAGCCGCGGUAAAACGUAGGAGGCGAGCGUUAUCCGGAUUUACUGGGUGUAAAGCGCGUGCAGGCGGUCUGGUAAGUCGAGCGUGAAAGCUCCCGGCUCAACCGGGAGAGGACGUGCGAAACUGCGAGGCUAGAGACAGGUAGAGGCGUACGGAAUUCCGGGUGUAGUGGUGAAAUGCGUAGAUAUCCGGAGGGACACCAGUGGCGAAGGCGGUACGCUGGGCCUGGCCUGACGCUAAGACGCGAAAGCAUGGGGAGCGAACGGGAUUAGAAACCCCGGUAGUCCAUGCCGUAAACGAUGCUAACUAGGUGUUGCGGGUAAAAGACCGGCAGUGCCGGAGUUAACGCGAUAAGUUAGCCACCUGGGGACUACGGUCGCAAGGCUAAAACUCAAAGGAAUUGACGGGGGCCCGCACAAGCAGCGGAGCGUGUGGUUUAAUUCGAGGCUACACGAAGAACCUUACCUGGGCUUGACAUGACGGUGGUAGGGAACCGAAAGGGGACCGACCUUCGGGAGCCGUCACAGGUGCUGCAUGGCUGUCGUCAGCUCGUGUCGUGAGAUGUUCGGUUAAGUCCGGUAACGAGCGCAACCCUCAUCGCUAGUUACAAGUGUCUAGCGAGACUGCCCGUUCAACGCGGGAGGAAGGCGGGGAUGACGUCAAGUCAGCAUGGCCUUUAUGUCCAGGGCUACACACACGCUACAAUGGCCGGUACAAUGGGUCGCCAACCCGCGAGGGGGAGCCAAUCCACCAAAGCCGGUCACAGUUCGAAUUGCAGGCUGCAACCCGCCUGCAUGAAGUUG